Molecule: ribosomal RNA, 575 nt
Filed under: Alternaria alternata
Lineage: Eukaryota; Fungi; Ascomycota; Dothideomycetes; Pleosporales; Pleosporaceae
Description: eukaryotic LSU rRNA
Rfam family: 5.8S ribosomal RNA (bases 229-382)
Source: RNAcentral
AGCUAUUUUGGAAGUAAAAAUCGUAACAAGGUCUCCGUAGGUGAACCUGCGGAGGGAUCAUUACACAAAUAUGAAGGCGGGCUGGAACCUCUCGGGGUUACAGCCUUGCUGAAUUAUUCACCCUUGUCUUUUGCGUACUUCUUGUUUCCUUGGUGGGUUCGCCCACCACUAGGACAAACAUAAACCUUUUGUAAUUGCAAUCAGCGUCAGUAACAAAUUAAUAAUUACAACUUUCAACAACGGAUCUCUUGGUUCUGGCAUCGAUGAAGAACGCAGCGAAAUGCGAUAAGUAGUGUGAAUUGCAGAAUUCAGUGAAUCAUCGAAUCUUUGAACGCACAUUGCGCCCUUUGGUAUUCCAAAGGGCAUGCCUGUUCGAGCGUCAUUUGUACCCUCAAGCUUUGCUUGGUGUUGGGCGUCUUGUCUCUAGCUUUGCUGGAGACUCGCCUUAAAGUAAUUGGCAGCCGGCCUACUGGUUUCGGAGCGCAGCACAAGUCGCACUCUCUAUCAGCAAAGGUCUAGCAUCCAUUAAGCCUUUUUUUCAACUUUGACCUCGGAUCAGGUAGGGAACCCGGUCC